Molecule: ribosomal RNA, 253 nt
Filed under: uncultured bacterium
Lineage: Bacteria
Description: partial 16S ribosomal RNA
Rfam family: Bacterial small subunit ribosomal RNA
Source: RNAcentral
UACGUAGGGUGCAAGCGUUGUCCGGAAUUAUUGGGCGUAAAGAGCUUGUAGGCGGUUUGUCGCGUCUGCUGUGAAAUUUCGGGGCUCAACCCCGAACUUGCAGUGGGUACGGGCAGACUAGAGUGUGGUAGGGGAGACUGGAAUUCCUGGUUUAGCGGUGAAAUGCGCAGAUAUCAGGAGGAACACCGAUGGCGAAGGCAGGUCUCUGGGCCAUAACUGACGCUGAGAAGCGAAAGCAUGGGGAGCGAACAGG